AUUGAACGCUGGCGGCAGGCCUAACACAUGCAAGUCGAACGGUAACAGGAAGCAGCUUGCUGCUUUGCUGACGAGUGGCGGACGGGUGAGUAAUGUCUGGGAAACUGCCCGAUGGAGGGGGAUAACUACUGGAAACGGUAGCUAAUACCGCAUAACGUCGCAAGACCAAAGAGGGGGACCUUAGGGCCUCUUGCCAUCGGAUGUGCCCAGAUGGGAUUAGCUAGUAGGUGGGGUAACGGCUCACCUAGGCGACGAUCCCUAGCUGGUCUGAGAGGAUGACCAGCCACACUGGAACUGAGACACGGUCCAGACUCCUACGGGAGGCAGCAGUGGGGAAUAUUGCACAGUGGGCGCAAGCCUGAUGCAGCCAUGCCGCGUGUAUGAAGAAGGCCUUCGGGUUGUAAAGUACUUUCAGCGGGGAGGAAGGGAGUAAAGUUAAUACCUUUGCUCAUUGACGUUACCCGCAGAAGAGGCACCGGCUAACUCCGUG
RNAcentral lists this ribosomal RNA (490 nucleotides) under uncultured bacterium. Its description in RNAcentral is "partial 16S ribosomal RNA". It matches the Rfam family "Bacterial small subunit ribosomal RNA", at positions 30 to 507 of the family's 1533-position model. The record is from RNAcentral.